RNAcentral lists this unclassified non-coding RNA (321 nucleotides) under fungal sp. Its description in RNAcentral is "partial internal transcribed spacer region". The stretch from base 1 to 46 matches the Rfam family "Eukaryotic small subunit ribosomal RNA", at positions 1786 to 1831 of the family's 1831-position model. The record is from RNAcentral. Lineage: Eukaryota; Fungi.
AAGUCGUAACAAGGUUUCCGUAGGUGAACCUGCGGAAGGAUCAUUAAUAAUUUUACUUUUAAAAUGAUAUCUAGUUAAAAAAUAAUAUUUUUUACUAGUAAUAUCAGAACACCUUGUGAACCGUAAUUUUAAACUGAUUGCCAGUUUUCUUUGUAUAUAACAUUUUUCUUUCUAAAAAAAAGGAAAAGGUUUAAUACUCUCUAAUCUGGCAAAAGGUUUAUCUUUUUAUAAACUCUUAACUUUUGUUAAUAAUUUUUAAAAUUGAGUUUUUUAAAAACACUUAAAUUUAAACAACUUUUAACAAUGGAUCUCUUGGCUCUU